RNAcentral lists this transfer RNA (88 nucleotides) under Zetaproteobacteria bacterium. RNAcentral's name for it is "tRNA-Leu". It matches the Rfam family "tRNA". From Rfam's summary of the family: Transfer RNA (tRNA) molecules are approximately 80 nucleotides in length. Their secondary structure includes four short double-helical elements and three loops (D, anti-codon, and T loops). Further hydrogen bonds mediate the characteristic L-shaped molecular structure. tRNAs have two regions of fundamental functional importance: the anti-codon, which is responsible for specific mRNA codon recognition, and the 3' end, to which the tRNAs corresponding amino acid is attached (by aminoacyl-tRNA synthetases). tRNAs cope with the degeneracy of the genetic code in two manners: having more than one tRNA (with a specific anti-codon) for a particular amino acid; and 'wobble' base-pairing, i.e. permitting non-standard base-pairing at the 3rd anti-codon position. RNAcentral also lists the same sequence under 1 other name. Lineage: Bacteria; Pseudomonadati; Pseudomonadota; Candidatius Mariprofundia. The record is from RNAcentral.
GCCGAGGUGGCGGAAUUGGUAGACGCGCUGGCUUCAGGUGCCAGUGGCCAUUGCGGCCGUGCUGGUUCGACUCCAGUCCUCGGUACCA